RNAcentral lists this unclassified non-coding RNA (279 nucleotides) under uncultured fungus. RNAcentral describes it as "partial contains small subunit ribosomal RNA, internal transcribed spacer 1, and 5.8S ribosomal RNA". The stretch from base 1 to 73 matches the Rfam family "Eukaryotic small subunit ribosomal RNA", at positions 1759 to 1831 of the family's 1831-position model. The record is from RNAcentral. Lineage: Eukaryota; Fungi.
UCAAACUUGGUCAUUUAGAGGAAGUAAAAGUCGUAACAAGGUCUCCGUUGGUGAACCAGCGGAGGGAUCAUUACCGAGUUUACAACUCCCAAACCCCUGUGAACACUACCACUGUUGCCUCGGCGGGACCGCCCCGGGCGCCCCUGCGCGCCCCGGAACCAGGCGCCCGCCGGAGGAUCCAAACGCCUGUAUUUUCUCUAGGAUCUUCUGAGUUUCAGCGAAUAAAUCAAAACUUUCAACAACGGAUCUCUUGGCUCUGGCAUCAAUGAAGAACGCAGC